AAAUGGAAGGCAAAACAAAGACAUUUUCAAAUAAGCAAAAGGUGAUAGAAUGUGUCAUCCACAGACCUGCACUAUAAAAAAUGGUAGAGGAAGUUCUUCAGUAUGAAAGUGAAUGAUACCAGAUGGAAACUGAGAUCUACAAAAUGAAACAUCACUGGAAAUAGUAAAUACAUGGAUUUAUGCUGCCAGAGUGGUUCUUCUAGUAAGAAGCCCCUUGCCAUCAGACACUGCAUUUCACUUGGUGAUUUUCCAGACUCCUCAAAUCUUUUAUGGAAAGAGAGUUUCACCUGCCACCUGGAUCAUUUCCUAUUUUUCUGCAGCCACUUCAGGGCGGGGACCCAGUAUCACGAAGCUGCAAGGUAAAAAGGAUCAAACCUUAACUGCCUACAUGUGCUCACAGGAACAUAAGUGAGUGAGGCUCACCAGCAACCAGGAAGUGAGCUGAGCCUAACAUAUGGGAGAGAUCCUGUCUCAUCUGCAGGGAAGAGCUGCUAUAUAGGAAAGUAUCUGCUCAUUGCUGCCAUGUGGGAAUGCUGGUAUUGCUGGACUUUCUGAUGUUUUAGGAGAAACUGCUGAUCUGUGCAUGAAGUCUGAUAUAUAAAGAUGAUACUAUAUUUAUGUGUCUAUGGAUAA
Homo sapiens (human) is the source of this 633-nucleotide long non-coding RNA. Lineage: Eukaryota; Metazoa; Chordata; Mammalia; Primates; Hominidae. The record is from Ensembl.